GCAAGAAACAAGUCGGAAAUCGGACGAAAAAAAGUUCUGUCUGAGCCCGGCUUUUACUGCCA
RNAcentral lists this microRNA precursor (62 nucleotides) under Triops cancriformis. Its description in RNAcentral is "microRNA tcf-mir-10314 precursor". The record is from miRBase by way of RNAcentral. Lineage: Eukaryota; Metazoa; Arthropoda; Branchiopoda; Notostraca; Triopsidae.